UCAUGACUAUUAUGUUCAAAAGGUACCGGAGAAAAUAGCUCCUGCAGCAACUGUGCCAGGAACAGUACCUACACAGGUAGCAUAUUGGCAGGAAAAGCAAGUUCGGAAAAGCGACGAUAAUCUGGCAGCGGCUUUCACCGGAGGUCAUGACUAUUAUGUUCAAAAGGUACCGGAGAAAAUAGCUCCUGCAGCAACAGUGCCAGGAACAGUACCUGCACAGGUAGGAUAUUGGCAGGAAAAGCAAGUCCCUGGAGGAGUACAUCCGGCGAACAGUCUCGGUACAGAACAGCCGGUUUACAUGAUUCAAGCACCCGCUGGAGCAUAUCACCAGCACCAGCACCCGCAAUUUGU
RNAcentral lists this long non-coding RNA (351 nucleotides) under Nicotiana benthamiana. Its description in RNAcentral is "long non-coding RNA (NBEN_LNC028766)". The record is from RNAcentral. Lineage: Eukaryota; Viridiplantae; Streptophyta; Magnoliopsida; Solanales; Solanaceae.